GGACAGAGCUUCCUUUCUUUUUCCUCCUGCUCUCUUCUGCUUUCUGCAAACCAGAACUGAGCCUUAAAUACCAUGUUAUUGGAUAGAAGUGGACAGUCUUUCCAACCUAUGUUUCAAAGGAAGGAAAGAAAGGGGGUUGUUCAGUUUUGAAUAAAAGACCUAACUUCCCAACGUCAUUAGUGCAUUGAGACCUGGGGAAAGCUCCUCGUGGAGCACCUAAAAGCCUGGAUGAAGAUGGCAAACCCACUGUGCUAUGCAUGCCAAAUCCUGCUUUCAGUGGAGCAGCAAACAGAUUUCAUGGCCCAUAACAACAUCUACUAUAUGCACAAAUGCAAAGAUGUACAUUCCACAAGCAUGUGUAUGCCUACGCAGGAAGGAACCUUCAGUGGCCAUGGAAACCAAAAUGCCACACAAAAGCCAAAGGGUGCUUGGGAGGUAAACAAGAUAGAUGAAAGGUGAUGGUGCUUUUAAUCUCCCCAAUCAAUGCGCUUAGGUGGGUGACUUUAAUUUAAUCCAUGUCUGAUUAACCCUCUCCCUUUGUUUACACCGUUAUAGGAGUUUUUCUCCUGUAAAAUUUUUAAACAAAUGUUAAAAAAUUCCAGGAGAGGGCUGUUCGCUGCAGUGUUUUCAUCCUAUUCACCCCCCUGAUGUAAUCAUGGAUGUUCUCAUUAUCCACAUAAAUGCCUAAUCCUUCUUACUCCUGCUAAGCUUAUCCUCAGUGCUAUAUUUUUGAAUGAGAGAGUGAAAGUUCUUAUACAAAUACAAAUUCUUGUGACUUUCUUUUUUGGACACCUAGCAGGAUGAAAUAGCUGGAAACAAUGGUGCUCAGUAAGGAAACCUUUUUCAUCAAGAAGCCUUGGAGCAGUUUGGUGAAAACUGGUUUUGAUUUGGUUGAGUUAUGAGCCCUUGAAAACUGCACAUCAUACACGCUUAGAGAUUUUUAAAUAAUAGCAGUGGAUUUAAUGACAGCUGAAUGUUCGGAAGGAAGUGCCGUGCAUGUGUGCACGGCUAAUUUACCUACUUACUGAAAAAUAUACUCAGGGGUAGUGCUCCAAAUGAACCCUGCCACAUUCAGUUUGGGUUGGCUUGCAUGACUGAAAAUUUUCUCCAAUUGCUGAGCAAAAUUUUCCACAAUAAUGAGCAUUUUAUGGAUGAGAUUUCCAAAAGCCAGCCCCCAUUUAGGAGAGCAGACACCAUUCAGAAAAGAGAAGGGACAGAAUAACAAAAAAAGGCCCAGAGGA
This is a long non-coding RNA of Pezoporus occidentalis (night parrot), 1241 nucleotides long. RefSeq lists it as uncharacterized. The transcript has 3 exons. NCBI's taxonomy places the organism in Eukaryota, Metazoa, Chordata, Aves, Psittaciformes, Psittacidae. The record is from RefSeq and is a predicted model, not a curated record.